Equus caballus (horse) is the source of this 18950-nucleotide long non-coding RNA. Lineage: Eukaryota; Metazoa; Chordata; Mammalia; Perissodactyla; Equidae. The record is from Ensembl.
GGGGGUAUGGAGAAUUCCAUGGUAGUCAGUGUGAGGCAGGACUGGCUAGAAUUGAGGGAAGAGAGUUAGGUCUAAAUUAUUGAGGACCUGGAAGGUGGUGCCAAAAUCAUGGACUUUGUUAUUAAGUCAAUGAGGAGACACUGGAGGGUUUAAGUGGUUGUGGGUAAUAUGGUCAGACCUUCACUUUUGAAAUUUCACUCGCUCUGGCCACGAUAUGGAGGAUGAAUUUGAAAGCGGGAUUCUGAGGAGUUAGUUUAGGAAGCUGAUGAAGAAAGGUUGUUAAGAGACUCUGAGGCCUGAACUAGAGCAAUGGGAUGGAGAGGAAGAGAUGCUGCUUCCGCUCUGCCACAAGCUCUUGUGCUCUGUAAUUUGGCAUUUCUACUGAGGUGUUUGUGAUUUCAUUCCAGGAUAGAUUGACCUCUCUCUUUCUCAACAGUGAUCAAAGCUUUUUGAUAAAAAGUAAACGUUAAUGGUAGAAUUUCAGGAAUCAAUAGUGAUUACAGCAGCAGUUUCAGGAGAGGACAGGCCUUUUAGGGUCCCCAACAUCAUACUGUGUUGUUGGUUGCCCUGGUUAUUAAGACCUUUCAUGGCUCUGAUCCAGGGUGACUUUCAGGGCUGAUCUGUAGGUGCUCUGUCUCUCUGCUUCACCCCGUCCAGCAUGUCUCACUUCUCCAGCUAGACUUACAGCACAUAGAGAGGCACCAGAGAGCCACUAGAAUUUAGUCUACUAUCUUCCUUAUGAGGAAUAGAUGCACACUGUUGUUCUCUGCUUUCACUAGGAGGAGUAAGGACACUUAUAAAAUUUGCUUGUUGUGUAGCCCCAUGUUUAGAGUCAUGUUAGAUUCUUCCUAAAAUUUUAGAAUCUAUGCCCAGCGAUUUCUUCUUAUACCCCAAUGUGAAAAUCUCUCCACAAAUAUCCCUGCUAAUAUCUAGCAUAUGCUUGAAUAUGUCCAUCGACAAGGAACUCGUUAUCUUUCAUGGAAGAACUUUCUAUAUUAGAAUAAUGUCUCUACCUAUAUUGUUAAAAAAAUCUCUCUCUUUGUACCUUCCAUACAUUGGAUUUUAUUCUAUUUUCUGAACCUCCUAGAACAUGACAGAACUGAAGAUAAUCACUGUCAAUCUUCAUGUCUUGCAGAGACUUCUCUUCUUGAAGGUGAGCAUCCUCCAUACCUGAGAUUAUUUCCAAAAUUAUGUGGUUUCUCAUCUCUAUACAAUUUUCGUCUUCCUUUGAUAUACUUCUUUUUAGUGUGGGCCCACAGCUGACUCUAGCUAGGGAAGUUAGCAUUCUUCUACAUAAUUGGGUAAACCUAGUGGGGAUUAUCUGACAGUGAUCUGAGAGCAAAACUCUGAGGGAAAGAAGCACAGGAUAGGAAUAGGGGCAGAGGCAGACAGGGAGGAGGAGUCAGCAUUCAGGACUGUCUCUUCCACUGCAGGUGGGCUUCUGCAAUGUAGCAAUCGGGGGAGAGAGCAGGCUUGUAGUUAAUUGCAGGCUGCCAUAAUCCCAGCUUUGUAACUUGUUUGAUAAGAGGCACCCAAAUAUAAAACCUAAAGGAAAGCUUCCGAGGGGUGUGACUUGGGUUAUGACAUCAUCCCUGAGCCAAUCAUUGUGACUCAAGGGAUGGGGGCAUCACAGUAGAUGACACCUGUGUUGUCUGACUUUCCUGUAGAUGAGGAGAGGGAGGCAUGGGAAGCAUUGUGGUUUGGAGCUCUGACAGAGUGAUCUGGAGUAGGGAAGAGGCAGUCCUCAAAAGGAAGGCUGAACCAAAUGAUCUCUUGAACCUCUUUGAGCUCUUGGCGCUUCAGUUUUCACUGGGCUUGAGAAGAGGGAAGAGCUCUUAUGACAUUUGAGUGGUUCUUGGCGAUGAUAAAUUGCCCACGAUGUGGAGAUGGGGAAGAGAAAUGGAAGAGAAGGUGCCCAAAUGAGAAGGACAUGGACUGAGUGAGUAUAUUAUUGGAAGGCCAUCCAUCUCGGCCUGGGAUAGCUCUAGAUAGAAAAGAGAACUGUGGGUGAGCUGCUGCAAUCUUUAUUGACUAAGACAUAAUAUGGGAGUGGAUAGAUCAUGAUGAGGAGGAGCAGGAAAUGGUCCUUAAAUAAAAUGACACCAGUCUAGAAGGAGCAGAGGGUUUUUACAAGAAAAGAGUGGAAAAAUAGUCCAGAAAUAGCACUGAGCAGCUAGUAGAGGAUGUACAAGAAUGAUUUGUGUCAAAUUAAGAGAGAGGCAGAAGUGAUUCCUCAGAAAAAAGCCACAUUUUACGUAAGACAAGAAAGUGAAAGUGGCUGUCAUUGUAAAUACCUAGACCAUAUGGACCAGGAUUGGGGUUCUGGAGAACACAGAUUUAGUAAGGAAAUGAAGAGAUGCAGACUGGGUAACUAAAGUUAAUCUGGAUGUGAGGCUUUUGGGUUUUGAUGGCUAUAAGGUUUCCAAACUGCUGGAGGACAGAGUUGCUCACGCUUUUAGAGAAGAUUAGCUAUAUACUUUUAUUAAAUGUGAAAAUAAGGGACUACCAGUUCCCCUAAGUAGAUUUUGUAUAUUUAGAGCUGGAGACAUAGCUUUGUGGUGCAGCCAGUUGGCCGUAUAUCUGAACACACAUCAGGGAUGCGAACCCAUAGGGCAUCUCUGGGGGCCUGUGUCCUGGGAACAAGCUGUUGUUUGUAUUGCUGACCCCUCAAAUUGGUGUAUAAUGAUGAUAUAUCUAGAUAUGAUGUUGCAGUAGCCAGGAAAACUUGCCCCACAAAGAUUUUUACUCCAGAUCUUUUUCAGAGACUUCCUCAGCAAAGAUACAUUUUCUCUUUUUAUGCAUUUAAAGGAAUAAGCUCUAACCUUGAGGGAAGACAGAAUCAAAGAUCUGGCAACAUUUAUCAUAAAUAAUGAAUGAAAAAACAUUAAAAAAUUAAUUGGGAAAAAUUAAGUAUCAGUGUAGUAUUUGUGCAAAUUGGCUCAUGGGAGUUGUGGUAGGUUUGCCUUGCUGCUGAGCUGUCUGCAUGAAAUUCUCCUUCCAUGGCACUCUCCAGGCUCUGCUUAGGUUCUCCUCCUCCCUUGCCAAGAGCUCCUUCUGUUUUCCUCCUCUGGUCCCUAAGUGAGUGUUCUUCAAACCUCAGCUCUCAAGCUUGAGAAUGCUUUCAAAGGUUUGUCCUUCAGACUUUUACUAUUUAUUUCCAAAUCUGUAUAGCCCAUUCCUUUCUCUGACCCAGAAUCCAGACUCUUACUACUAGAAGCAAACAUAUAGAACACCUUUCUUGGAAAGCACAAUAUCAUCUCAGCAAACUCAUUUGGAAUCUCAACUCAUUAUCUUUCUUCCCAAACUCCCAUUCUCUCUCGGGGGUGCCAUUAUUAUCCUGGACAUUCAGGCCCCAAAUAUUUCUGUAUCUCAUUUGUACUGUUCCUAGGUCACACUAGUUUUUUCUUAGCAAUCCUUUUUCGAUUUGCUCUUUUCACUCUUCCUCUUUUGAUUCCACUGCCAUAUGACCAGUUUCUAAUUCCUUUUCCUUACUCUCAAAUCUAUCCUGCUCACAAAGCCAAUCUUUUUAAAGCACUGAGUUAAUUUGUCCCUACUGCAUUAAAAAAUCCAUGGAAUACUGUCCCUAGGCCUCUCUGAUAUCUCAAUUUUACAUUCUUUCUUUUUUUUUUUUAAAGAUUGGCACCUGAGCUAACAACUGUUGCCAAUCUUUUUGUUUUUUCUGCUUUUCCUCCCCAAAUAUCCACAAUACAUAGUUUUGUAUAUUUUUUUUUAGUUGUGGAUCCUUCUAGUUGUGGCAUGCGGGACACCACCUCAACAUGGCCUAAUGAGCAGUGCCAUGUCAGCGCCCAGUAUCCGAACCGGGGAAACCCUGGGCUGCCGAAGCAGAGCACAUGAACUUAACCACUUGGCCACAGAGCCGGCCCCACAAUUUUACAUUCUAAGGCCCAGCUCGUACUCUGCUUCCUCUAGGAAGCAACAGUUUCCACCCAAAACUCCAUAUCUCCAUCUUGGCAUCUGCUUCCAAAGAACCCAACCUGUGAAAGUUGGUGCUGGAAGUGGUCCACAAAAGCAAAUGAUAAGAUGAGGUUUGGGAUCACUAGCCACCAAGCUGCAAUAAAGACCCAAUCACUGGUGCACAGACAACCCGUGGCAGUAUUCCACUUGUUAAACUUACACUAGUGGUGAAAUGAUGAUGGUGAACUGGUGGGAGGGAAUGUACUAGCACACAGGAUGUAACAGGCUUUUGAGAGCAAUGUAUGAAAUGAGUAAAUAGUCCAUAUAGGGUGGUAGGAUUGGGUAGCUAUUGCUAAAUGCCACUGAUGCUUUACAGGAAAAUAAUGAACAGCUUCAGGUAAUAGAAAGCCAGGUAUGAAAGCCAGAGGGCACCUUUGGUUGCAUACAAAGAAGGUCUCCUUUCAAAACCAAGAACUGAGCUAGGACUUAAUAGUGAUAGCGGCUGAAUUACAAGACUGUUAAAUGCCCAACUGUGGCAGGUCUGCUUUGUUGAAGUCCACCUAGAACCAAGAAUAUUGCCUAAAGAGGUGGCUAAGUUCCUAGGAAGAAGGACCCUGGAAUGCCAUGGCAUAAAUGCACAGUAAUGGUUUCCCCAGUCCUUCUCCAAAGAGAACUAAGGCCAUUUAUGUGGGUAAAUAUACUCUGGGGAAGGGGAAUGCCAAGCCAUUCCAGGGACUGUUGGGCACAGAAUUUGAGUUGAUAUUGAUACUCAGAAAGCCAAAUUAUAUGGUCCUUUUGUUAGAGCAAGGGCUCAUGGGGUCUUGUACAAGGUCUGGUGGUCAUUGCCUCAUCCUCAAAUAUACGUUUGAGUGGCCAGCCUGGUGGCACAGUGGUUAAGUUCAGCACGUUCCACUUUGGUGGCCUGGGGUUUGCUGGUUUGGAUCGUGGGUGCAGACCUACGCAUUGCUUCUCAAGCCAUGCUGUGGCAGGCAUCCCACAUAUAAAGUAGAGGAAGAUGGGCACAGAUGUUAGCUCAGGGCCAGUCUUCCUCAGCAAAAAAGAGGAGGAAUGGCAGCAGAUGUUAGUUCAGGGCUAACCUUCCUCAAAAAAACAAAAAAUAUAUAUACAUUUGGGUUUGACAUACUUGGCAGUUGGUACAACCACCAUAUUGGGUCAUUAGUCUGUGGGGUCAAAGCUACCAUACAGAAAACCUCUAACCUGCUCCUCACCCUUCUCCACCCCUGCAACCAAGAUAGUGAAUCAGAGCCAAUAUUGCAUUCUAGAGGGGAUGGUUGAGAUUAGUGUCAUAUUUAAAGGACCUAAAUGAUACAAGUAGUGGUCUUCAUCGUAUUUCCAUUUAAUUCAUGAGUCUAGUCUCUGCAAAAACUAGAUGGAGCUUGGCAAAGCUUGACAAAGUCCUAGCCCCAAUAACAACUGCCUUGCCAGAUGUGUUUUCUUUGUUAGUGCAGAUUAAUAUAGCAGCAGGUACAUGGUACACAGCCAUUGAUUUGGUGACCAGCACUUUUCUAUCACCAUCACAAAGAAAGUUCAGAAAGAGCUCACAUUCACAUCAUAUGGAAUGGAUAAUUGCAUGCAUUUAUAAUUUUGCUCCAGGGCUGUGCUAACUUUCCUGCUCUCUAUCACAACAUAGGCUGAGGAGCUCUAGACCAGUGCUGUCCAAUGUACAUAAAAUGUGAGCCACAUAGAAUUUAAAUUUUCUAAUAGCCAUAUUAAAAAAGUAAAAGGAAACAGGUAAGUUAAUUUUAAUAUAUAUUUUAUUUAACCCAAGGUUUCCAAAUAUUAUAAUUUUAACACAUAAUCAAUAUAAAAAUUAUUAGUGAGAUUUUUUACAGUUUUCUGUACUUCUGUUGUGUUUUAUGCUUACGGCAUAUCUCAAUUAGAUGUUACAGUUUCAUGUGAUAUACUUGAUCUCAUAAAAUUUACAGUUGAAAAUUUUCACUGUAGAUUCAGAUGCCCAGGUUGUUCCAAAUGCACUUAAAAGUUGACCAAAAACUGAAUCAACUACUGAAAAGAAUAAUUUUCCUUUAAUACCUGUAUCCACAUUGACAAAACUGAUUUAUCUUUCUUGAAGAAUUGAUUUGACUUUGCAGCAAAUGUCUGUCAGUUUCGAAACUACAGCUGUGAAAAUGAAGUAAAUUAAUUCUUUUGUCAAUCCAGUAUUAUUAAAAUUGAAUUCAAAGGGGUAGUACAUAAGUUGAAAAACAACUCUAAAUUAUUAAUAUCAACAGGUGUUCUUCAUAUUUUUAUUAUGGUUUUUGCAAUCAAUUUACAUAACACUGUCGAUUACACUUAAAAUUUCUAUAUUAAUUCAUGUUGGAAAACAUGUAAAAUCAUUAUUAUUUAUUUAUAUUACAAAAAGUUUCAAUUUCAACAUAAAUUGCAUGCACAUGUAGCUAGGUCACAAAUAAAUGUUUCCUUUCCUCAGAGCUUCAAAGUUAGUUUAUUCAUAUGCAGUGUGAUAUUAGUGAGAAAAUGUAAAUUGCAUUGCCAUUUUUUGUCUUUGAUUAUUGAAUAUUUGGCAAGGAUUCCUUUUUUUCUCAAGGAGUUUAUAGUUUAUUGGAAUUGGGGUUUAUAGUUCAGGAAAUCUUUGUACAACUCUUUCAUGACUCAGCCCAUGAGGAUAAUUAAGUUCAUUGUUUUCUAUUUUUUUCAAAAGUUUGAUAAAAUGGUGAUGAUUUUUGUACAUAUAUAUAGUAUGGUUUUAACAGUUAUAUCAGGGGUGCUUUUCUUUACAAUUUGCUUCAGAAAACUAACCACAAAUAUUUCCAAUAUGUAUCGUAUAGUGGGAUAAAUCAGCAAGGGAAAAAUCAAUGUCUUGUUUUAAAAUUCUGGAAGAUCCAAUUUGGACUUAACAUAGUUGGAGCAAUAUCCAUAGUCACAGAAGCUAAUUUUUCAUACCUAUAUAAAAUUUUUCUUUGGCAUAUGUAAAACGUUUAAAAUAUCCAUGCCAUGAGUGUAAUUUUUUAGGUUGCAAGUUGGUAUUUUUUUAUAAAUUUGGAAGUCAGAUUGAGACAAAAUAUACCAAAGUAUUUAUUGGGCCAUGUCUCCUAAUAUUGCAUGGCUCAUCUAACGCUAAUGAAAAGUGCUUGCAGUGUUUCAAAUUUUGAAUCAAUUUUUGAUAACUGUCGGAAAAGCUUAUUAUUCUAGUGAUAAUUGGUUGCUUAAUUGAUGAUCUUUCACUUUUUGUGAAAUACCUUUUUUAUAUUUUUCUUAAUAUUUCAUAAUAAACUUUCUAUAACUGUAAUUUUUUACCAUUUCUACAACUAAAAACCAUUUUCUAUUUUGUGUGAGAAUCCAAGACAUUUUAUAGCUGGCCAACCUUAUAAGCUCAGAUCCUGUUAAGACUAACAAAAUUUUUGUUGGAUAUUUAGUUCUGAUUUCAGGUAACUAAUUUUGUUUAUUCCUUUUUUGCUGCUGUGAGGAAUCUUCUUAUCAAUUUUACUGUAUAUCAUUGGCUGAAAACGUCUCCCUAUUGCUCACCUAUUAUCUUAAAAUUUUUCUUACAGAAUGAACAAGCAACUUUUUUGUUUUUCUUUGCUGUAGCAAAUUGCAAUUGCCAUUUAUCAUGAAAUUUAUGUUGUACUUUCUUGCAGUCUCUUUUUUUCUUUACCUUUCCAGUUAUAGUACUGGCUUUUGCAUUUUCACUCAGUCUGCAACAGUAAUAUGCCUUCAUUUUGAUUUUAAAAAUUUAUCCAUAUUUAUUUCUUUAAACUAGAAAAAUAGUUUAAUUAUAUUACAAUUAAAAUCAUAAUAAACAAUUUAAUUACCAGUUACAUUUUAUAUAGGUAUCACUGUAAUGUGUACUGAUUACAGAAAAUAUUCAAAUGAACACAACAUUACACUCAUGCCUGGAGAGUCAUUUGUACUUAAUCAGUUUGUUGACAUCCACUAGAUCCAUGAUGUGUUUCUGUGUAAUACGAGGAAUGAUGCAUGUCCCUGAAACAUGCUGUGCAAUAUAACAAUAUUAUAUUACUCUAUGCGAUCUUUAACAUGACAUGUAAUCCUACCAAAACAAUAAAGUAUGUUUAACAGAAAAAGUCCUUCACACUGUUUCAGUCUUUUAAUUCAAAAUGCAUUAAAAUGAAAAAUUCAGUUUCUCAGUUGCACUAGCCACAUUUCACAUGGUCAAUAGCUACAUGUUGCUAGUGGCUACCAUAAGCGACAACACAGAUUUAGACCUUUUGGACAUCUUACAGACCAUCAUAUUCAUUCUUGAUUUAAGUGACAUUAUGUUGAUUGAACUGGAUGAGAAAGAAGUAGCUAGCACAGUAGUAAGACACAUGUUCCAGGGAGUGGGAGAGAAACCCUGCAAAUAUUCAGGGGGCUACCAUAUUCAUAAAAUUUUUUGGAGCCAAGUGGUCAGAGGCAUGGCAUGGCAUCCUUCCAAAAGGAAAAGAAAAAAUUAUUAUGUCUUGUACUUUCUGACUUGAAGAAGGGAGCACAAUAACAAUGCCUGGUGGUACUCUUCAGUUCUAUUGACAGCAUGUUCUGCACACAGAGCUGUUACUCUGGCCCAUAUACUGAGUAAUGCAAAAGUCUGCCAGCUUUGAGAUGGCCCACCCAGAACAGGAAAAAGUUCUUCAGCCCUGCCAUUUGGGUCAUAUGAUCCAGUAGGCCCUAUGGUGUUGGAGGUAUUGGUGGGAAAAGAUGCCAUAUGGGGUUUGUAACAAUCUCCAGUGAGAGAAUCACAACACAGGCUCGUGGGUUUCUGGAGUAAGGCCAUGCAAUCUUCAAUGAAGAGUUGUAUGCUUUAAAACAAGAAAAGCUCCCGGCUUAGUACUGGACCCUAGUAGAACCAGAAUGCCUAACAAUGGGAUGCCAAGUGACCAUGUGGCUGGAAUUAUCCAUUAUCAGCUGAGUGCUGACAGACCCACAGUUAUAGGAUGGGUAGACCCACACUCCAUUGCAAGAUGGAAGUGGUGUGUUUUAGGUUGCGCAUGAGCAGGACCAGAGGGAACAAGCAAGUUCAUGAGCAGGUUGCCCACACCCCCAUGGCAUCCACCACUGUUGCAUUAAUGGCCCUCCCUCAGCUCGUGCCUGUGGCUAUAUGGGGAUCCCAUACAAGCAGUUGGAGAGGGAACAAAAAGUCUGAUCUCUGUUUACAAAUGGGUGAACUCGUUAUGUGGGUACAAGCCAAAAUGGACAGAAGCUACAUGAUAGCCCCAAUGCAGCCUUGAAAAACAGCAGUGAGACAAAAUUCUCCUAGUUGUAGGAGUUUUGGAUAAUACACUUGGCCAUCUAUUUUGUAUGAAAAAGAAAUGGCCCUAAGGUUUAAUAUUAUGGACUCAUGGGCAGUGGUGAAUGGAAACAGAUUGAAAGAUCAGGAACAAAGAAGUCUGGGUUAAUGACAAGUGGAUAUAUGAAUGGGAGUUGUCAUGAUGUGUGAGUUGUCAUGAUGUGUGAAGAUUUUUAUAGUGUACAUUAAUGCCCAACAGAGAACAUCCACCACAGAAGCAACACUAAACAAGCACAUGGGCAAAAUUACUCAUCCAGUUAAUAUUAGCCACCCUGUUGUCAACCAGACUGUCAUCAGCCACCUCCAUGUUGGCAUGAUGGACACAUGAACAGAGUAGCUGCUGUGGCAAAGAUGGAGGAUACACACGGGUUCAACAGCAUGAGUUCUGACUUACCAAGAGUGAUCUAUCUACAGCCACUGCCAACUGUCCAGCCUGCCAGCAACAGAGACCAAUGCUGAACACUCAAAUGAGUACCAUUCCUUGAAAAUGUCAAGUGGCCAUUUGAUGGCAAUAUGACAACAUUGGGCCCCUUUCAUCCAGAAGGCUAGAACUUCACUUUCACAAGAAUAGGCACAUAUAACUUGCAUAAUACGCCCUUACUGCCUGCAGGGCUUCAGCCAGCACCACUAUUCAUGGGUUUUUGUAGACAUAGAUCCAACAAUAUGAAUUCCAGUAGAGGGAGAGAGAGAGAAGAGAUAAAGAUUGAGAAUGCUGCAUUCCCAGAAUUGAAAGGAGUUCAGAUGCCUGGAGAACAGGAGAAAAAGUUAGCAAAGUGGAGUUGGGAGAUGAAAUUGGAGAGGUCAUCAAGGAGUAGAUUAUGAAAAGCCUUUGUAAGCCAUACUAAGAAGUUUGGGCCAUAUGGAUAUGGGUAGUAAAGGAAGGGUUUUAAAAAGGCAAGUGACAUAACCAAAUUUGCCAUGAACUCCUUAUUAUCUUGGAAAUACUUCUCACCUUAUUUGUUGAGAAGAGGAGGAAUGUGAAGUUCUGGACUAAAUUACAGUCUCACGUGAGCCAGGCUUCUGUCCUAUUUAUCACAGAAGAAAGCCCUCUCAUGUUUAUAAUGAGACAAUUGCCAAGAUUAUUUUUUUCCAAGUAACAAAAACAUACAAAUGGGGGGGUUGUUACCUGCUCAUAUUUGUAAAACCUAAGAACGGAAUAUAGAAAUGCUCAAAGAGCAUGUUUGAAUAUAUUUCUCUGUAAAACAUGACAGAAAGGAGUGAUUAUUUAAAUUGGACAGGACUUUGCAUUCCUGGCUCCUUGGUGGCAAUGCUUUUUGUCUGAACUCUCUUACUAGAAAAAUGUCACAAAGGAUAAAAAAUGAGUCCAGUAAGUUUUAUUCAAUUUCAGAGUCUAUUAUAUAUUCUGUUUUACACAAAGCAUGUAAUUUUAAAUUUCAUAGAUAGGCAUACUGAACAUGUGCUUGGUAGAUAUACAGCUGUUUGUACGGGUGAAAUUGAAACCCUCCAGGGAGGGUACAUUAAUAAUUCCUUACUUGUAAGACAGAACAGCCGUCUCAUAUUCCAAACAAAGCCAGGCCAGCCAAAAGUGAUUCAUGGUCAUUUAUAAAAACUGAUUACCAAUCACCAGAUCUUAAAGCCAUGGCAACCUUUAUUUUUCAGUCUCAUAAACAGUAAAGCUCCCUUUUGUUAAACACGAGAGACCUUUUUCCCACAGAGGAGUUACUAAAUGCAAAAGCUAAUUUUCCACGUCUGACAGCAUGUAUGAAAGCGGAUGAAUACAUAUAUGAUAAACAUAUAUUUCAGUAGAAAGAAAAUAUCAAUGUGCAUAUAUUUAUGUAGGUUUUCUUUCACUGAGCUGUUGAUCCAGUCCUUUGUUUUAGCGUCCCAAAGGCAAAAUUUUUCCUGACGGGACAGUUUAAAAUAUUCACUUCAUUAAUCUUAGAUAAAAUCUAUAUUCAUAUUUAGUUUUAAUGGUUCUUCUGAACAAGAUAUCAAAAUAGUACUUUCUGUAUUUAAUAGUAGGAAACAAGAGAUUCUAAUAAUUCCUGAUUUGUAGCUUAAUCUCAAUGCUUGGUGAAGACAUUAGAUAAAUCACUCAUCAAUUUUUGAUCACCUAGGAGUCCCAAGGUAUGGGAUAGAACCAGCAUGACUCUGUGACUAAGGGGUCCUGCUGGAGUCCCUUUUCCCUGUUUCAAUGGUUGAGUGACAGCCAAGUAGAUAAGAGAAAGUAACAAGGUCAUUUCUCUCUUGGCCUUCAUUUACUCUCUCAGUGUCUGUUGUGGGCUCCAGUGAGAGAGUAACUUCUCCAAGGUCAGCUUGAAAUCCUGGAAGUGUGUUCACCCAUCAUGUAGUCAAAAGUGCUGGUGAAGUCAUGUGAAAUCCAACACUCAGUAAAGGGAUAGACAGAGGGUGAGGAGAUAGAUAGCAUAGGCAAAUCUAUGUUUAUUUCCCAUAAUGUGCAUAAUCGCUCUUGCUUUUGGAGGAAUUCCUUAAAACAUUUCAAUUCAGAGUGAGCCAAGGGAGUUUAAGAAACAAUUAGUUCUGAAUCAGAUGAUAUUUUGGGCCAUGUUUGACGGUGACGUGGCCACAGCUGAGCAACGGUUGAAAUCAUAUUUACUUGCUGAUGUCCACUGGUACCUUUGAGCCCUCAUUUGAUGAAUAAGUAAUCUCAUGUUUUAGGCCACUUGGCUUCUCCUUCUCAAACUCUUGAGUCUUACUUUUGAGCACUGGCCCUUCCAGAGCCCUAGGACUUUCCUGACUAGGUCUUCAUUAAAGGAGUUAGCUCCAGGUUCAUUGUCUGUGGGCUCCUGCUUUGUUAUGUCUUCCUUGUCCUUUGGCCAAGUGCUGCCCGUUAAAGUGAUCCUGAGUUUGAGCCUUGUUUACUUCUAUAAUAGGAUUGAGUCACUCUUGUUGCACAUCUUGACUGGUGUUAUCAUUAAUGGUAUAUUGACUACCUCAGUCAAAAGUGGCCGGGCUCCUGUUGUCUUGUCUGCUUGCUUGAGCAUUUUUAGGUUAAACUUGAAAGAAGGAUUAGUUGUGGGGGAAAAAUUAGUUCAAAAAUUCCAGUUCAGUUUUGGCCAUAAGAACAAUCUUUAUUUCUUGUUCUGCACCAAAUAUAUAAUCCCUCCUGGGUCUCUUCUAAGCUGUGUAAGCAGAUAAUUUCCAGUUUUUCAAUGGCAUUUUUAAUGGUUGCCUUCUGGAAUUCAGCUUUCAAGGGAUUUCCUGAUAAGAGCUAUGUAAUCAGGAUGGAAUCUCUUAUUAAAAGGACUUUCCUUUUCCAAAGCUUGAAGAAAGUCUGUUUCUCCCUUCUCAAAUUAUCAGGCUAUCUAUCAAUAAUUGAAGGUGAGAUCGAAACUAUGACCUUGGCAGGUAGUGCAGAAGAUUUGCAGAAGUUGUUCGAUAGUGUGAACUAGUUUUUAGAUUAUGUGUUUUUUAACUAUAUUAAAGGUAAACUUCUUUUGACACUCUUCAGGAUCCUGGGAACAGGUUCUUUUAUUCAAGAAACAUUUCACUUCUUCAACAAACAGUACUAUGGCAGUAUAGGAAGAGAAUGAACUGAGAAGUUUCCAGCUGCGCUUUCAUACUGACUGUCCUUGGCAUAUUACCAUAGAGGGGUCCAUCUUUGGCCUAGUGUCUCACAGUUCUGAGCACACUUCCAAGUUUAUCCCAGGCCUAGUGCAUACAGAACUUCAUCUGAAUCAUCUGGGGAGUGUACUAAAAUACAGAUUCCAGACUCCAAGCCAGAUAUAUAGUCCAUAUCUAUAUGGAAGGACUUGGAAUCUGUGUUUUAACAAGUUCCCUAGAUGAUACUUAUGCAAGCUGCAUCAGAAAUUGUGGCCAGAAUCCUGUCUCCUUAACUUACUAACAUGACCUUAGACAAUCUAUUUAACCUCUGAGUGCCUCUAUUUUCUCAUCUGUAAAAUGGCAGGUAUCAAUAGUGUCUACCUCAUUGGUAGUUGAAGGGAUCAUGUGAGUUGAUACAUGUAAUUAAUAUAUGUUAAGUGCUUAGACUAGUAUUUAGGAAGUGCUAUGUAACUAUUUUCUAUAGUAGUAUUGCUAGUGGCCCUAGUGGUCUAGUGGUUAAGAUUCAAUCCUCUCACCACUGUGGCCUGGGAACCACAUCAUCCAUCUGUUGGUUCCCAUACUGUGGCUGCUAUGCCACUGGUAUUUAAAAUGCCAGCAGGGUCACCCAUACUGGACAGGGUUCAGCGGAACUUCCAGACUAAGACAGACUAGGAAGAAGAAACUGGCCACUCACUUCCAAAAAAACCUGGCCAUGAAAACCCUAUGAAUAGCUGCAGAGCAUUGUCUGGUAGUGCCGGAAGGUGAGAGGUGCAAAAAGACCAGGCAGGUUCUGCUCUGUUGUAUAGAGGGUUGCUAGGAGUUGGAAUCCACUCAACAGCACUAAGAACAACAAAUUUCUAGUAGCAGAAGACUUAGCCUAUAAAGAUUUCCCUAUGGACUCCCAGUUGUGCCCAGUUUUAGGGCUAGCCAGUUAUCAUGAGGUAAGGUCUCUCAUCUUGUGCUUGACUGGGUUAGGAUAAGCAGAGGCCAUGUUGUAAGCCUAGGGGGCUGAGAGAGCACAGGGCAGUAGACAGAAUGUGGUGCUUGAGGCCAACUUCAGUUUGAGUCCUCCUAGUAGCCAUGUGACCUAAGGCAGGAGCCUAGUUCCCUGGCCUGUUAAAUGGAAGUAAGAAAAUUAACAUACACUCUGUUCAUCUUUUAAGGCUUAUGUUUUGAAACAGGUUGCUAAAAUAAGACUUUUCCUGUUGACUAGGUUUUGAUAUUGUGUCCUGCAACUCGAUAGAGAGGAGAGAGACCAUGCUAAAGAGUGACUCCACAAUGAACUGGCCACUCUUGGCCAUCGCAUUCCUCAAAGUUAUAUAAUGGAAGGCAAAGGAAAGCAUGGAGAGUGAAGAAUUCUUUGGAGAAAGAGUGUUAGUAUGCUGUGCAUUGCCUCUCUCCUGUCUUCUUCUCCCCUCAAAGUCAAGUGGGCAGGGACUUCAGAGAAUGAUCCAGAAAGCUUAAUAUAUGUCUCUUGAACUUGGGGAGGGAGAGGUGCUGGGAUAUGACGCAACUUGAGAAAGCCCUAGUGAGAGGCUGGCUGGAGUCCUUUGCUGUGACAGAGCAGAGACAGGGUUACAGUGGAAUGAGCUGCCCUUCCACCACAGAGGGGCAAAGGGGCUUAUUUACCGUGGGCUAGACGUAGACCCUGGGACAGAAGGGUCAUGAGCCAUCUUGCAAAAGAACCCUGGGCAUGAGGGCAUCCUGUUAGGAUGUGAUGUGAGCUCUGUAGAAAAAUCCUGAGUGCACCAUUAGCUGCAGAAGCUGUGGAGGAUCAUGAAGAUCAGCUGGGGAUGGCAUCAGGGGAUCUUCAUUCAGAGCAUGAGGGCUGGGAGUGGAACCUCCAAACAUCCACAAAAGCACCCCAGUAGAGAAAGAAUUGAGUGAACAUUUGGACAACUGCUACAGCCAAGGGUACUAAUACCACAUUAUAUACGUGUGCAUGACAAGAGAGGCCUUUUCUUGUCUUUCUUAUUGCUUCUCCCUUCCCUUUAUCUGACUCUAGAGAGGCCAGAAAUGGUCAGUAAAGGAAGAUGUGAGGCAAAACCAAAUCCAGAUGGUCCAUGCUCCCCCAAUUCCUUUGUGUAGAUUUUUGAGCCUGGGACAAACCCAAGCUUGGGGAGGGUUGAUAUUAAAUGAUGGUUUGAAACUUUAAUAUUGGACUGGCCUGGAGCUCUCAAAAUCUUGAAGUGACUGUAAAAGCUAUAGGAACUCUCUAGAAUUUUAUCCAAUGACAGAGAAGACUGAUUCUACAGAGUAGAUUUGAAGAGUCAGCAAUGAGACAAAAUAAAUAUACUUUUGACUUGCAUACUUUCACAAAACCAGUUAACCUUUGUAACGUUGCAAGAAUCAAAGAAGCUAAUGGGUGGGAAAUUUCUUUGAAUAUUGUAAAGUGUACAUAUUUUGAAAUAUUGGUUAUAUAUGCUUUUAGCUAUUACUGAAAAAAAAUAAAACAGAAAACACCUAGUAAACACCUACUCAAUGUAAAGAAGGCCCUGUGUUAGAUAUUUAGAAAAUAUAGAGAUAAGUAUGACACUGCCCUGCCUGCAGAGUGACAGUUGCAUACCUGACAGUUUCCUUACCCAGCCUUCUGCAAUGCCAAAUGAAGUCAGACAGCAAGGUAAUGGGAUCAAACGUGAAAAUAAGCCACAGCAGCUAAUUCCCUAUAGAAGUGGUUCAAACUAAACAUAACGAUAGUUUGUCUUCUUGCUCCCUGUCGCUGAGCUCCUCAAGCCGGCAUUUCUCUUAUCUUCAAAUACCUGCCUCUUUCUGAGAAUCUGCCUCUUGCCCUGGGUUCCAGCGGCUGCUCAAUGCUUGCUUCGUUGUUGCUUCACUGUUCUUUCUCCACUGUUCUUUCUCCAUUUCCCACAGUGGUCUCCUCACAGCCUACUGCUCAGUUACUCUCUUUAACCUCAGGGAGAAGAAUCUCCUUCCUUGUGCCACUGGAGUGUGGAACAGGAAAGAAGGAAGAGAUGGCAUAAUUCAAACCAAAUGGAUUUUUUUGGACCACAUCCAGUUCCCUUAGCCUAUGGCACCUGGAAUCACAACACUCAGUGGCCAACUCUGUGAUGUCAUUUUGGUCCCUCUUAUAAUCCAACAUGUUCAUAGAUAAUGCUGCACCUGGUGCAUAGUAGGAACUUAAUAUCCAUGGAAAAUGGAUGUUUUUACUUAUUGUAUAUAGUUUUCUGGAUGAAGGCAGUGAAGCUAAUCCUAGGUCUUUUCUAAUCCAGGCUACAGUCAGAUUUCUGUAUCUUCUUAAAAAUUGUAUUUUGGAUGAUCAAGGGAUCCAGAAUGUUCAUCUAUUGCCAUAGUGUCCAUCUAUAAUAUGGCAGUGCUAAUAUGGCAGUAUAUAGAAGGAGAAUCCUGGCUGCACAAGAAAAAUGCUUGUCUGGUCUGUGUCACUCAAGUGAGAGGAUCACUUCAGUUUGGCAACCUGAAAAAAGCAGAAGAACAACAAAAACCCCACAAAAAACAAACAAACAAAAUGUGGUUCCGUAUUCCUCAAGUGGAGACCAUCACUUUGCUGAGCUGAGUUCCACUUCACCGUUGUGUGUGGUUGGCCUCCUGCUGUAGUAGAGGGCCACUCUGGCCCAGAGAUACAACUGCCUGUGAUGGGGAGUAACCCUACUCUGAUCCAUGCAAAUGGUCUUAAUUACUGUAUCUUUUGAACAGCUCCACUCCCUCUUGCAAUAUGCAAGCGAGACGUUCCUUUCCGUCUCUGGGGAUUGGGAUGCCUGGAUGAGGAAGGAAAAGGACACCAGGAAAUGACAGCUGAAAGCCAGAUUGCAAAAGAGAGAUAGGAAGCAUCAAAUACGGACAUAAAAACCCGAAAAGAAACCAGUCUGCAGCUAUUUAUAGCACAAACAAAUAGUUUGAAACCUUUCAAUCUUCCUCCUCUAUCAGGGCUCAUUUAAAAAAUACUCAAUUUGGGUAACAAAUGAUUAAAAAAAGUUGGAUUAUUUUAGUAGAGAUGGCUGUGAGGGUGUCAUGCAUUUUGAAAAAUUUUCCAUUCAGAACAGAUGCACAUUGAGGUGCAAUUUUACUUUGUGAUAGUAAACUUGUCUGGAAUUCUGCAUUUCGAGAAAAUAUCAAUUAAGGAUUAAGUUAAUUGAACAUCUAUUGCUUAUCUAUUCUGUGUGAACCCUAUAGAGACAUUAAGACAUAGUACCUGUCCUCAAGGUGUUUGUAGUUUUUAGUGGGUUACUCCAGUGAGAAUCAUUUGCGUCUCACAAAAGGUGGAUAUUGAUGCUUUCUCUUGGAGCUCUGAUGGACCUUUUAGUGACUCUUGCCUUCUUCUUCACUCAAAAGAUAUGCUGCUGUGCAACUUGGGGUCAUUUUAUUACAAUGUAGAGCUCAUGAUUCCAAUCCUCAGAGCUGUAAAAAUGAAGUCCACCCUGGGAUCCAGGGAAAGGCUUGGGAAGGGUACCAGAAUCAUCCCCAACCUACUUAAAAAGGGUACAUCACAGAGCAUUAUCCUGUAGGUCCCACAUCAGUUCACAAAGCUCCAAGAAGCACCUUUAGCUUACAGGAGGCAGCAUCUGUUGUGGAGACAGCCCACCUGUAAGGGAUGGCCUGGCUAACAGUCGUGCCUCUAAAGCUAUAGGCUUUGGGUGAGAUGCUCCCUUUUGGGAUCUCAGUUUCCCCAUCUGAAAAACAAAAAGGCUGAACGCACACCUCUGCAGGGUUCUUCCUGGGAUGACUUUUGGAUUAGGCUCUUUCCUUUUGCUGUGCUAUUGUAGUCUACAGCCAGGUCUGCUUCACUGACAUCUGGAGUAAGCCCAAUGAGGCAGUAAAUACAUGCACAAAGCUCUUUAUAUGGCAAUAGGGUAGACCCUUGCUUGCUGAAGCUCCUGAACACCAACAUCCUCAGCUUAAAACAGCAUGAAAGGCAAUGGCCUCUGAGUUCUGUAUUUCUGACUCUCUGGUUCCCACUUUGGUGAGAAUCAAAGUGAGGCACUGAGGAAUAUGUACAUUCUUAUAUAUCUUUGACCUUGAGUAUAUCCUUCAUACUGCUUGUUGGUUGAUUGGCAGCAUUGGUGAAGAUUUCUUAACCGAGAUCCAGUUGACAUUCUUGCCAAGACUUCACAUCUGAACCAGCCUUUGUGUUCUUCCGUAGGACACAUGCUGCUUGAAUUUAAAAAUUAGAACUUAUUAAAAAUUGUAUUAAUUCCCAGCCAUUCCUUCAAAACAAAGAAAUGACUGAAUGAAUAGUCAUUAAUUUAUUUAAUUCCUAUUUGCUCAGGCUGGACAUCUUAAGAUGCCCUUACGUCAGCCUUCCACCCAGGGCCUAAUACCUAAUCAGUAACUAAGCCUGUUGAUGCUUCUCCACACCAUCCUUCCUCUCUGUGUCUACCUCCACUGCCCUAAUUUAGGAGUGUAUCGCAGUUGAUCUUGGCUAUUGCAAUAUCCUCCAAAAUUGUCACCAUGCCUUAUCUUUCAACAUUCCAAAAUCCCAUUCAUCACACAUGUUUAUCUAUAUUAACUUCAUAAAUCUUAAACCCUCGUCAUGGUUUUCCCCUAUUCCAAAAGUUCAGCAUUUUCUGUUGGUCCAAAUUCCUCAGUCUCUCAUUCAGGGCCCUCAAACCUCUUUUCUAGUGCUUCCUGAUGCAUUCCAACACAAAACCUAGGCCCCAUCUUCACUAAUUUCUUCAGUGAACCUCCAGGGAACUUUCAUUUCCUUCCGUUACACAUUUAUGUACAUGCCCUAAACCUCGCAGUAUGCUGUAAGCAAUUUGGGAGUAAUAUUCAUGCUGACUCCAUCUCCCACACAGCCCAGAGCGCGACGCAGACUGCUUUUCCAUCAAUGUUUAUAGAAAAAACCAGUGAGUGUACCCUGUAAAGCCAUUGCCAUUUUUACCUUCGCCUCUUCUCUCACAUAACGCUCUCUGCUUGGAAUGCUCUUUUCUGUUCACUUUAAACUGUUUGCUAAUUUUGGUGAGUUAAAGUUCAUUUUCAUCUAUGAUUUCCCAUUCAUUGGCGCAAAACUCUUCAUAAUCUCUUCUUAUCUAAUUAAUAUUUGUGGCAUUUGUAAUUAACUCUCCCUUUUCAUUCUGAAUAUUGUUUAUUCAUGUGUUCUCUACCUUUUAUCUUGAUCAGUCUUGAUGGAGGUUUGUUAAUUUUAUUACCCUUUGCAAAGAAGCAACUUUUGGCUUUUGUUUUUAGCUUCUCUAUUGUAUGUUGGUUUUUUAUUUUAUUAACUUCUUCUCGUAUCUUUAUUAUUUCCCCCUUCUGCUUUCUUUGGGUUUAAUUUACU